RNAcentral lists this ribosomal RNA (722 nucleotides) under uncultured bacterium. RNAcentral's name for it is "bacterial SSU rRNA". It matches the Rfam family "Bacterial small subunit ribosomal RNA", at positions 28 to 753 of the family's 1533-position model. The record is from RNAcentral.
GAUGAACGCUAGCGGCAGGCUUAACACAUGCAAGUCGAGGGGUAUAGUAGCAAUACUAGAGACCGGCGCACGGGUGCGUAACGCGUAUGCAAUCUACCUUUUACAGAGGGAUAGCCCAGAGAAAUUUGGAUUAAUACCUCAUAGUAUAUUAGAGUGGCAUCACUUUAUUAUUAAAGUUCCAACGGUAAAAGAUGAGCAUGCGUCCUAUUAGCUAGAUGGUAAGGUAACGGCUUACCAUGGCUACGAUAGGUAGGGGUCCUGAGAGGGAGAUCCCCCACACUGGUACUGAGACACGGACCAGACUCCUACGGGAGGCAGCAGUGAGGAAUAUUGGACAAUGGGCGCAAGCCUGAUCCAGCCAUGCCGCGUGCAGGAAGAAGCAUCUAUGGUGUGUAAACUGCUUUUGUACAGGAAGAAACAUCCCGACGUGUCGGGACUUGACGGUACUGUAAGAAUAAGGAUCGGCUAACUCCGUGCCAGCAGCCGCGGUAAUACGGAGGAUCCAAGCGUUAUCCGGAAUCAUUGGGUUUAAAGGGUCCGUAGGCGGUUUGGUAAGUCAGUGGUGAAAGCCCAUCGCUUAACGAUGGAACGGCCAUUGAUACUGCCAGACUUGAAUUAUUGUGAAGUAACUAGAAUAUGUAGUGUAGCGGUGAAAUGCUUAGAUAUUACAUGGAAUACCAAUUGCGAAGGCAGGUUACUAACAAUAUAUUGACGCUGAUGGA